This is a long non-coding RNA of Hypanus sabinus (Atlantic stingray), 8323 nucleotides long. RefSeq lists it as uncharacterized. The transcript has 3 exons. NCBI's taxonomy places the organism in Eukaryota, Metazoa, Chordata, Chondrichthyes, Myliobatiformes, Dasyatidae. The record is from RefSeq and is a predicted model, not a curated record.
UUUGUGUACGGUCCUGUAACUUGUCAGGAGAUUAGUAUGGUUUUAUGGAUCAAGGAACUAUGAUCAAAAGACUGAGUAUAAUUGUAAAAUCUCAGUGACAGGGCAAGGAAGGGGGAAGAAGAUGUGAGAGAUGAAAGUCAAGAAAGACGGUUCUUUCAACACAUGGGCAGCCACCACACAAUCCUUGACAGAUCGGGUAAGGAUCCAGUGGCAUGGAGUACAAGAUGACUGGGCACCCUCUACUGCUGCAGCCUUCCUCUACCUUCACUGCUGUUGUGAUAUGUCAUCUUCUGCCAUUUCCACUGUUGAGAGCAAUUCUUUUAAAAAAUUAGUCAGAUGCACAGGAAGAGAGACCUGUCUGAACAUUUCAUGGAGGCAGCUCGGUUCAAGUUCUGAAGCCCAGUCCAAUGGCAAGAGACAGAGUUUUUGGCACAGCUCAGCAUGUCAUGAAAAUCAGCUUCCCCUCCAUGAACUCCCUACAGUUCUCGCUGCUACAGUAAAGUGGCCAGCAUAACCAAAGUCUCCACCAAGCCCAAAUGUUCUCUCUUCUCUUGGUCGCAUUAGACAGAAGAUAUAAAAGCUGGAAAGCAUGAACCAUCAGGCAAAAGGACAGCUUCCAUGCUGUUGUUAUUAUUCUAUGCCAGUCUCUUGGCUGUGGUUCCCAAAACACCUCCACUUCCCAAAAUUGUUGAGGGACAACCCACCUAUACAGUAUGGUGGCUUUUGAACACUGCAUUGUUUGAGGUAAAAGGCAGCACGUCGUGGUUUGGGAGGGAUAUGGACAAGAAGAAAGAAGCUGGAUUCCUUCUUCACGGGAUAUUGAGGACUCUACUUUGAUAGAGGGCUUUCACCAGACCCAUUCUGAUCACCCUUGUCUAUCAGGAGCCGACCAUGGAGGAGGAGGGCGGAUCUGUGAUGGUCCUGACUGAACAGUGGCAGGCAUCCAAGUUACAGCGAUCUAUUCCCCUGGAGUAUGGUUCACUGCCACUGAUGCUUUAAAACAAUCUGCCAAUUAUUGCCUGCUACAUUCCUUCAUAGAAAGGCCUCGGGCUGAGCACUCAGUGCUCAAUCACAGGAGUUCCAUUUCUUGUGCUCACCUUUGUGAUUUUGUCUUUCGAUUUUGCCUGUGUCAUCUUAUUCAUUCUGAGUCUGCGUUAAUUCUAAACCUUACUCCAAACUUAGGUUCACCACCAUCCAUAGCUCUCUUGUUAUAGUAUGCCUGCAAGAAAAUGAAUCUAUGUAUAUAUAUAUAUAUGUACUUUGAUAAUAACUUUUAUAAAUUAAUCUGUAUGAACUGUAUGUAAAACAAGCUCUUCACUGUACCUCAGUACAUGUGAUAAUAAUAAAGCAAUUUAUCAUGUACCCAUGACCACCUGUACAGAGACCAAUAGGUUUGUUCAGAAGAUUUUGUGGUGGAAACAUCAUCAGUGAUAUUUUUCCUGUGCUCUGACUGGGAUGGGUAAUCCACAUCUUAAAAACAUACAAGCUGAGCAGGAAUCACAGCUGCUCAACAGGCCACUGCUUUCCCUGUGUUUCAAAAUAAAAAUGAGACAAUGGACUCGGUCAUUUUGCAAACAAAUAAGAUAUAUUAAUUUCUCAUGUGCAAAUAAAAUAUGGUUCAUUACUACUGAAUUUACUAGAGUGCUUAAAAUGUUGGGCUGCAGUCAGAAAAAUGGCUACCAUCAGUGACUUUAGUAAUAGAUUAACUACUAAUAGUUCUACUUUCUCAAAAUACUGGUGAUGAGUAGUCCCCAAUAUAUUGAUAUCCUAAUCAUAACACAGUUCUUUUCAGUUCCAGACAUUUAUAUUUCAAGUAAACAGCAUAACAAUAGUUAAAACUAAACAAAACUUAAAGCUAAUGCUUUUAUUGUCAGAAUAACACUGCGUGUGUUAUUCUAACUGACUUGAGAAGCAGAUCUCAUGACAUGUGUAAAGGUUUAGAGUCCUGAUGAAGGGUCUUGGCCCAAAACAUCGACUCUGUAUUCGUCUCAAUAGGUGCUGCCUGACCACCUGAGUUCCUGUAGGACUUUGUGUGUAUUACUCUGGAUUUACAGAAUCUGCAAAAUCUUGUGCUUUGGUUUAAUAGUUGACAGGUUUCCUGUAGUAUUGAGGAAAUUCACUAUCAUUUUAGUAUGCCAGCAGUCGUUUGUUACCUCAAGCACUCAAGACCUCAACUUCACGUGCAGUAAUUACUGCAGUUCAACAGACUAUGACAGAUAAUUUCUUCUCAUUUCUAGUUGUUUUGCAAAGAACUAAGUCAAUUGGCUGUUUUCUUUAUGUUCAAACUAAGAGAAAGCAGUGGCCUUGAGCAGCAGUGAUCCCUGCAGCCUUGUAUGGUUUGAAGAUGUGGAUUACCCAUGCUAGACAAAAUCCAGGAAAGGUACACCAAUACUGUCUUGGGAAAAACCCACAACCCGUUUUCAGCAUCUUCUCCACAACAAUAUCCCCAAUACUGUGGCUGCAUUGGUGGUUCCUAACAUACGACUCCCUGAAUCAGACAUUUUAUUCCAGAGCAAGGGACUACUAGGAGGACAGAUAAAAUGCUUCUAGGAUGUUCUCACAGGAAUCCCUGAACAGUGACUGAUGAGAAUGAGGAAAGAGCAUUCUAGAAGGCACUGAGAACCUGAGUCUUUUUGCCAACAGAAUGCUGAAACCCAAAUUAAAAUGGCAGAAAAAGCUCAUCACAACAUUUAUGGCUUGUGUACUAUCCCACCCACCCAUCACAUCAAGUAUAUUUUGCUCUACCUAUGGCACCAUUUAGAAACAUAGAAAACCUACAGCACAAUACAAGCCCUUUGGCCCAUAAAGUUGUGCCGAACACGUCCCUACCUUAGAAAUUACUAGGCUUACCUAUUGCCCUCUAUUUUACUAAGCUCCAUGUACCUGUCUAAAACCCUCUUAAAAGACCAUAUUGUAACCGCCUCCACCACAGUUGCUGGCAGCCCAUUCCACGCACUCACCACUCUCUGAGUAAAAAACUUACCCCUGACAUCUCCUCUGUACCUACUCCCCAGCACCUUAAACCUGUGUCCUCUUGUGGCAAUCAUUUCAGCCCUGGGGAAAAGCCUCCGACUAUCCACGUGAUCAAUGCCUCUCAUCAUCUUGUACAUCUCUAUCAGGUCACCACUUAUCCUCCUUCACUCCAAGGAGAAAAGGCCAAGUUCACUCAACCUAUUCUCAUAAGGCAUGCUCCCUAAUCCAGGCAACAUCCUUGUAAAUCUCCUCUGCACCCUUUCUAUGGCUUCCACAUUCUUCCUGUAGUGAGGCCACCAGAACUGAGCACAGUACUCCAAGUGGGAUCUGACAAGGGUCCUAUAUAGCUGCAACAUUACCUCUCGGCUCCUAAAUUCAAUUCCAUGAUUGAUGAAGGCCAAUACACCAUGAGCCUUCUUAACCACAGAGUCAACCUGCGCAGCUGCUUUGAGCGUUCUAAGGACUCAGACCCCAAGAGCCCUCUGAUCCUCCACACUGCCAAGAGUCUUACCAUUAAUACUAUAUUCUGCCAUCAUAUUUGACCUACCAAAAUGAACCACUUCACACUUAUCUGGGUGAACUCCAUCUGCCACUUCUCAGCCCGGUUUUGCAACCCACCAAUGUCCUGCUGUAACCUCGGACAGUCCUCCACACUAUCCACAGCACCUGCAACCUUUGUGUCAUUUGUGGAUCUUACACUGACUUUAUCUGCCAUGCAGGAUGGAUGCAAGUCAUUCCUGAGAUCAAUAAGAAAUCUCUUUGGAAUGAUAUGUAAAAUCAUUAAACUUCGAAAUGAACUUCCUUUCAACUGACAGAUGCAUACCGUAAAAUCAUUGCUGUAUAAUACAAGUGCCCAGAACAAGGUAAAUGUAAAAUCACUAUUAAUUUUAUGGAAAGAGCAAUUAAUGGAAGAAACUAAGAGAAGUAAUUGACAAAUAAUUCCAUUUCCAAACAAUCGCAUUACUUGUAUUCAGUUUAAUGCAUUUUAUUUUCUGCUUGAUGAAUUCUUUCUCCAUCUACCAAAAGAUCUCUAAGCACCUGUCUUUAAGGUUAAAAAAGAGUUUUUUCUGUUUUUGACUGGACAAUAGACUCAAUCUUUGCCAAACAAUUAAAAAUAAAAGAAAGCACCGUGGUUCACACGGUGCUAUUGCAGAUCGGGGUGUUCCAGAGUUCAGAGUUCAUUUCCAGUGCCGUCUGUAUGGAGUUCAUACAUUUUCCCCAUGAACCACAUUGUGUUCCUCUGGGAGUUCUGGUUUACUCCCACAGUCCAAAGCUGUACUGGUUAGUAGGUUAAUUGGUCAUUGUAAAUAAUCCUGUGAUUAGGUUAGUGUUUAAUAGGUGGGUUGCUGUACAAUGUAGCUCAUUGGGUUGAAAGGGCCAGUUCCAUGCUGUAUCUCCAAAUAAAUAUAAAUAAAUAAAAUUAUAAGUGCAGAUGCUGAAGAAAUUAACCACAUAACAAUUACAGCACGGAAACAGGCCAUCUUGGCCCUUCUAGUCCAUGUCGAACUCUUACUCUCACAUCUGAAAUCUGAAAUAAAACAGAAAAUGCUGGAAACACUCAGUAGGCCAGGCAGCAUUGGUACAAAGAGAAGUAGUGAAAUUUUCAGGCUAAAGACUUUUCCCUUUAUUUAAAAAAAAACCUGUGCUCCUGCAUAGUUUUCAUUCAUUCAUUUACAGGAUGUGAAUGUCACUAGUAGAUGUGGUAUUUACAAUCCAUUUCUACAAUUAAUGCUUUACAGGGCUCUCAGAAAUUUGUUAAAAUGUAAUCAUCUGAAGUUAUCUGUAAAUCAGAUUAGUCAAGUCAAGUCAUUUUUUAUUGUCAUUUCAACUAUAACUGCUGGUACAGUACACGGUAAAAACGAGACAAUGUUUUUCAGGACCAUGGUGCUACAUGAAACAAUACAAAAACUACACUGAAAUACAUAAAACAACUAAAAAAAAAACUACACCGGACUACAGACCUACCCAGGACUGCAUAAAGUGCACAAAACAGUGCAGGCAUUACAAUAAAUAAUAAACAAGACAAUAGGCACAGUCAAGGGCAGUAAGUUGGUGUCAGACCAGACACUGGGUAUUGAGGAGUCUGAUGGCUUGGGAGAAGGAACUGUUACAUUGUCUGGUCGUGAAAGCCCGAAUGUUUCGGUGCCUUUUCCCAGAUGGCAGGAGGGAGAAGAGGGAGGAGGGAUUAGGAAAGGGUAUUCAUAAACCAAAUGGAUUUUAAUAACAAUUCUGUCAUCACAUUCUUCCACUACUAAUUCUAAUAUUUCCAAUUCAGAAUCAGAAUCAGGUUUAAUAUUACCAGAAUACAUUUGUUAACUUGCAACAACAGUAGAAUGCAAUGCAUGAUAAUACAGAGAAAAAAUUGUGAAUUGCAGUGUGGAAAUAUAUCUGUAACCAUGAAGUCUUCAUGAAUUUGUAACUUUUGUAAAAUGUAAUGUGACAGGAUGAAAAAACUUUUAUGCAUGUUUUAUGGGAAGAAGCUGUUUUUUUUAAUGACAGGUGAUUUGUUUUAUGGCAGGAGGGGAUGUUUUGACAACAGUUGAUAGGAUGGAGCUUCUAAAGAAUAAAUGUGUAAACGAGAUAAGAAUAAAGCUAACAGAGAAAUGAAAUGUUAUGGAAUGGAGCAACCUAAUUACUGUUCUCUUGUAAAAACAUAAAAGUACUUUGGUUGAAACAUAAGAUCGGAAACUAUUUUCCAGGAUAAUGUUUGGAGGUAGUUUCAAAAAUAACAAGAGUAAAUGCAUUAAUCAUGUAAUCCACUCUGAAUUUGUUGCAGUUUGUUUCUGUAUAUUAGAAGAUCCGCUGAACCUACAAUGUUAAAUAUAAUAGUUAAAUUAAAUAAGUAGUGCAAAAAAAGAGAGACUAGAAAUAAAAAGUAGUGAGGUGUGUUCAGGGGUUCAGAAACUGGAUGGCAGAGGGGAAAAGUCCUGAAUUGUUGAGUGCAUGCCGUCCUCCAGGCUUCUGUACCUCCUUCCUGAUGGUAGCAGUGAGAAGAGGGCAUGUCCUGUGUGGUGGCAUCGUGCCCUUAAUGAUAGGUGUCACCUUUUUGAGAUACCACUCCUCGAAGAUGUCCUGGAUACUCCAGAGGCCAUAAAGGAGCUGACUAAUUCUACAACUCUCUGCAGCUUACUUCGACUCCCUGCAGUAGCCUCCCCAACUGUCCCCCCAUACCAGACCGUGAUGCAGCCAGUUAUAACGCUCUCCAAGGUACAUCUGUAGAGAUUUGCUUGUGUUUUAGGUGACAUAUCAAAUUUCCUCAAACUCCUGAUGAAGUAUAGCCAUCGAUAUGUUGGCUACAGGUUAGAUCCUCAGGGAUAUUGAUACCCAGGAACUUGCAAUUGCUCACUUCUGACCCCUCUAUGAAGACUGGUGUGUGUACCCUUGUCUUACCUUUCUUGACGUCCACAAUCAGUUCUUUGCUUUUACUCAUGUUGAGUGCAAGGUAGGUGCUGCAACUCCUCUCAACUAGCAGGUAUAUCUUACUCCUGUAUGCCUUCUUGUUACCAUCUGAGAUUCUGCCAACAAUGGUUGUAUUGUUAGCAAAUUUAUAGAUGGCAUUUGAGCUGUGCCUAGCCAGUCAUGGGAGUAGUGAGAGUAUAGCAGUGGGCUAAACACACAUCCCUGUGGUGCACCAGUGUUGAUUGUUAGCGAGCUGGAGAUGUUAUUUCCAAUCUGCACAAAUUCUCAAUUUAAUUAAAUGUUUGAGUUCAGUUGUUCAGCAAUCAUAAAUCUAGGCCAAAUAAGUGAACCACAUUGUGCUAAGCAGCUUAAAAACAGGAAAUAUAUUGGGGAGAGAUCAGCACAUGAAGAUAUGUUCCAGAAAAAUAACGUCUUUCUCUUUCACCUUGACUGAUAUCUUUGCCUUUGGAAUGUAUAGUUUCAGCAUUUACAAUUUAAUUUACUCAUCCAGUUUUGGUCUCUUUAUAUGAAAUAUAAUUUCAAAGCAAACUAAUUUUGUGGUUGUAUGUAAAUUGUCAAAACAAUGCAGAGAGCCAAUGCAGUUUUAGGCAAAAUAUCUUAUUGCUAAAAAAGGGCUCUUCAACUUAGAAUGGCUGCAUAGAAAUUAUGGUUUGCAGUAAGGUAAUUGAGGAUGUCCGUGCUCACUGACAAAAAAACUGUUGAGAUCUUUUCUCAAUGAUCAACAAAACUAAGCUUUAACUAUAUACCCAAUCCUACUUACUAAUAUUGAGCAAUUUUAUUUUAAGUAAGCUAAAUUGUUUAAAUUUCCCGUGUGAUACAAACUUAAUUAACUGAUACUUAUACAGCUGUGGUCCAUGUUUUAUCUCACAACACCAGCUGGAAGCUAAACCUUCAGAGAAAAGAACAUUGUGCACAUUCAUCCCCAUGUCAUAGUCGUCUGGGAGACAUUCUUAGAUGAGUAGAACAUUUGGGUCUUAUUCUCUUUCAGUUCAGCAAAAACUUUCAAAUUUUACAUUUCAUGAACUUAUGUAUCACCAAUUUGUCCAAAUCAUUAUUUUGAUGUCCUUUAUCUGCCAGAAUGCCACCUGCGAUAUCAAAUUGGCAUCUCUAUGUUAAUCGGUGCACAGCGGCACAGAACGGUGCCAGCGUGGUUUAGCCUUUAACGCCAGCUCAAUUUUUUAAAAAAUAUUAUGUAUAAUUUUGUUGAAGUAAACAUAAGCUUAGUGCCUCUUCAGUAACAUUCUAACAGAAUUUAUUUAAUUUUAAAGAUCAGUUAAGUGAAUACUGUACAAAAAUUCAUUUCCAUGUGUAAAGGACGGUUUCUUCUUUUUUCUUUGUUACUGUUGGGAAAGGGUUUCUUUGUUUUGUUUACAGGAAUGUUUCUUUGUUGCGAGAGAGUGCUGGAAGCUUGUUUGUUAAAAUUUACUGAUAAUGAGAAUGGUAUUCCUUUUUAAACCAAAUGGGGAUUAAUGUUCUUUCUUCUGAGUCUGUAAGCUUUUGUUGACGGGCUUUUGGGCAGAUCGGCGCUAGGGGGUCGAGAGAGAGGACGCAAUGCUGUAAACUGGGCGAGGAUCGGACUCCAAGCGGGGGUCCGAGGCCCAGAGGUACUCUGAGGAGGGGGGAUGAAGCUAGAUGUGCUUGGUUGACCACUCGGAGGGCCCUGAGCUGCGAGUCGAGGAGUUCGGAGGGUCCUGAGCUGCGAGUCGAGGAGUUCGGAGGGGAUCGAAUGGUGGCCAGAAGACUUCAGUAAUUGAGCUCCAAUGGUUGUGCACGAAGUGGUUUGGACUUUGAUAAGUUUGGCGCCUUUUCUUUAUUUUUUCUCUUCAUAUAUACUGUAUCGUUAUUAAUCACUUAGUUAUAGUAACCUUUAUAAAUUGUACUCAUUUAAUCGCUUAUGGUGUACUGUCUGUUUUUGGGCGAGGCGGGGACA